RNAcentral lists this ribosomal RNA (261 nucleotides) under uncultured archaeon. Its description in RNAcentral is "partial 16S ribosomal RNA". It matches the Rfam family "Archaeal small subunit ribosomal RNA", at positions 748 to 1008 of the family's 1478-position model. The record is from RNAcentral.
AGGGUGUAAACGCUGCAGACUUGGUGUUGGAAGUCCUUUGGGGGCAUUCAGUGCCGGAGAGAAGUUGUUAAGUCUGCUACUUGGGGAGUACGUCCGCAAGGAUGAAACUUAAAGGAAUUGGCGGGGGGAGCACCGCAACGGGAGGAGCGUGCGGUUUAAUUGGAUUCAACACCGUAAACUCACCAGGGAAGACUGUUACAUGAAAGCCGAGAUGAAGACUCUGCUAGAUUUUCAGAGAGGAGGUGCAUGGCGUCAGUGACU